GUGACUGCGUACCUUUUGUAUAAUGGGUCAGCGACUUACAUUUAGUAGCGAGGUUAAGCGAAUAGCGGAGCCGUAGGGAAACCGAGUGUUAACUGCGCGUUUAGUUGCUAGGUGUAGACCCGAAACCCGGUGAUCUAGCCAUGGGCAGGUUGAAGGUUGAGUAACAUCAACUGGAGGACCGAACCGACUAAUGUUGAAAAAUUAGCGGAUGACUUGUGGCUGGGGGUGAAAGGCCAAUCAAACCGGGAGAUAUCUGGUUCUCCUCGAAAGCUAUUUAGGUAGCGCCUCGGACGAACACCUUUGGGGGUAGAGCACUGUUAAGGCUAGGGGGUCAUCCCGACUUACCAACCCUUUGCAAACUCCGAAUACCAAAGAGUGCUAUCCGGGAGACAGACGGCGGGUGCUAACGUCCGUCGUCAAAAGGGAAACAACCCAGACCGUCAGCUAAGGUCCCAAAGUAAUUGCUAAGUGGGAAACGAUGUGGGAAGGCUUAGACAGCUAGGAUGUUGGCUUAGAAGCAGCCAUCAUUUAAAGAAAGCGUAAUAGCUCACUAGUCGAGUCGGCCUGCGCGGAAGAUGUAACGGGGCUAAGCAAUUCACCGAAGCUACGGGUACUGAUGCUUGCAUCAGUGCGGUAGAGGAGCGUUCUGUAAGCCGUUGAAGGCGAAGGGGUAACCCACGCUGGAGGUAUCAGAAGUGCGAAUGCUGACAUGAGUAACGAUAAAGGGGGUGAAAAACCCCCUCGCCGAAAGACCAAGGGUUCCUGUCCAACGUUAAUCGGGGCAGGGUGAGUCGACCCCUAAGGCGAGGCUGAAAGGCGUAGUCGAUGGGAAACGGGUUAAUAUUCCCGUACUUCUGCUAACUGCGAUGGAGAGACGGAGAAGGCUAGGCCGGCGCGGCGUUGGUUGUCCGCGUUUAAGGUAGUAGGUGGUGUGCUUAGGCAAAUCCGGGCACACAUACACUGAGAGCUGACGACGAGUCCCUAAGGGGAUGAAGUGGUUGAUGCCAUGCUUCCAGGAAAAUCUUCUAAGCUUCAGGUUAGCAGGAAUCGUACCCCAAACCGACACAGGUGGUCGGGUAGAGAAUACCAAGGCGCUUGAGAGAACUCGGCUGAAGGAACUAGGCAAAAUGGUACCGUAACUUCGGGAGAAGGUACGCUCCUGUUGGUGAUGAGACUUGCUCUCUGAGCUGACGGGAGUCGCAGAUACCAGGUGGCUGCAACUGUUUAUCAAAAACACAGCACUGUGCAAAAUCGCAAGAUGACGUAUACGGUGUGACGCCUGCCCGGUGCCGGAAGGUUAAUUGAUUGGGUUAUCUUCGGAGAAGCUCAUGAUCGAAGCCCCGGUAAACGGCGGCCGUAACUAUAACGGUCCUAAGGUAGCGAAAUUCCUUGUCGGGUAAGUUCCGACCUGCACGAAUGGCGUAAUGAUGGCCACGCUGUCUCCAGCCGAGACUCAGUGAAGUUGAAAUUGCGGUGAAGAUGCCGUAUACCCGCGGCUAGACGGAAAGACCCCGUGAACCUUUACUAUAGCUUGGCACUGAACAUUGACCCUACAUGUGUAGGAUAGGUGGGAGACUAUGAAGAUGAGACGCCAGUCUUGUUGGAGUCAACCUUGAAAUACCACCCUUGUAGUGUUGAUGUUCUAACCUGGGCCCCUAAUCGGGGUUAGGGACAGUGCCUGGUGGGUAGUUUGACUGGGGCGGUCUCCUCCCAAAGAGUAACGGAGGAGCACGAAGGUUGGCUAAGUACGGUCGGACAUCGUACGGUUAGUGUAAUGGCAUAAGCCAGCUUAACUGCGAGACAGACACGUCGAGCAGGUGCGAAAGCAGGUCAUAGUGAUCCGGUGGUUCUGAAUGGAAGGGCCAUCGCUCAACGGAUAAAAGGUACUCCGGGGAUAACAGGCUGAUACCGCCCAAGAGUUCAUAUCGACGGCGGUGUUUGGCACCUCGAUGUCGGCUCAUCACAUCCUGGGGCUGAAGUCGGUCCCAAGGGUAUGGCUGUUCGCCAUUUAAAGUGGUACGCGAGCUGGGUUCAGAACGUCGUGAGACAGUUCGGUCCCUAUCUGCCGUGGGCGUUGGAUGAUUGAGGGGAGCUGCUCCUAGUACGAGAGGACCGGAGUGGACGAACCGCUGGUGUUCGGGUUGUCAUGCCAAUGGCAUUGCCCGGUAGCUACGUUCGGAAUCGAUAACCGCUGAAAGCAUCUAAGCGGGAAGCGAGCCCCAAGAUGAGUCAUCCCUAGGGCCUAGAGCCCUCUGAAGAGCCGUUCGAGACCAGGACGUUGAUAGGCAGGGUGUGUAAGCGUUGCGAGGCGUUGAGCUAACCUGUACUAAUGACUCGAGAGGCUUAACCAU
This 2351-nucleotide ribosomal RNA is filed under the name Shewanella algae. Its description in RNAcentral is "partial 23S ribosomal RNA". It matches the Rfam family "Bacterial large subunit ribosomal RNA", at positions 593 to 2925 of the family's 2925-position model. The record is from RNAcentral. Lineage: Bacteria; Pseudomonadati; Pseudomonadota; Gammaproteobacteria; Alteromonadales; Shewanellaceae.